This 449-nucleotide ribosomal RNA is filed under the name uncultured bacterium. RNAcentral's name for it is "bacterial SSU rRNA". It matches the Rfam family "Bacterial small subunit ribosomal RNA", at positions 24 to 518 of the family's 1533-position model. The record is from RNAcentral.
UCAGAACGAACGCUGGCGGCAGGCCUAAAACAUGCAAGUUGAACGGCUGUAGCAAUACAGCAGUAGCGCACGGGUGAGUAAUAUAUGGGAACAUGUCUUUUGGUGGGGAAUAUUCUCUGGAAACGGAGAGCAAUACCGCAUAAGCCCUACGGGGGAAAGAUUUAUCGCCGAUUGAGUGGCCCAUAUUGGAUUAGCUAGUUGGUUGGUAACGGCUGACCAAGGCGACGAUCCAUAGCUGAUCUGAGAGGAUGAUCAGCCACACUGGGACUGAGACACGGCCCAGACUCCUACGGGAGGCAGCAGUUAGGAAUAUUGGACAAUGGGGGCAACCCUGAUCCCAGCCAUGCCGCGUGAGUGUUAAGGCCUUCGGGUUGUAAAGCUCUUUUGUAUGGGAAAAUGAUGAUGGUACCAUAAGAAUAAGCACCGGCUAACUUCGUGCCAGCCGCCGC